RNAcentral lists this ribosomal RNA (253 nucleotides) under uncultured bacterium. Its description in RNAcentral is "partial 16S ribosomal RNA". It matches the Rfam family "Bacterial small subunit ribosomal RNA", at positions 524 to 776 of the family's 1533-position model. The record is from RNAcentral.
CACGUAGGGCGCAAGCGUUGUCCGGAAUUAUUGGGCGUAAAGAGCUCGUAGGCGGUCUGUUGCGUCCGCUGUGAAAACUCGGGGCUUAACCCCGAGCCUGCAGUGGAUACGGGCAGACUAGAGGUAGGUAGGGGAGAAUGGAAUUCCCGGUGUAGCGGUGAAAUGUGCAGAUAUCGGGAGGAACACCGGUGGCGAAGGCGGUUCUCUGGGCCUUACCUGACGCUGAGGAGCGAAAGCGUGGGGAGCGAACAGG